GUUGCCGUUAAAAAGCUCGUAGUCGAACUUCGGCCUCUGCCACCCGGUCCGCCUAUUUGGGUGUGUACUGGAGUGGUGGAGGCUUACCUCGUGGUGAGCGGCCAUGUCCUUUACUGGGCGUGGUCGGGAACCAUGACAUUUACUUUGAAAAAAUUAGAGUGUUCAAAGCAGGCUUACGCCCGAAUACAUUAGCAUGGAAUAAUAAAAUAGGACGUGCGGUCCUAUUUUGUUGGUUUCUAGGAUCGCCGUAAUGAUUAAUAGGGAUAGUUGGGGGCAUUCGUAUUCAAUUGCUAGAGGUGAAAUUCUUGGAUUUAUUGAAGACGAACUACUGCGAAAGCAUUUGCCAAGGAUGUUUUCAUUGAUCAAGAACGAAGGUUAGGGGAUCGAAAACGAUCAGAUACCGUUGUAGUCUUAACAGUAAACGAUGCCGACUAGGGAUCGGACGAGGAUUUUUAAUGACUCGUUCGGCACCUGAAGAGAAAUCUUUAAGUCUAGGUUCGGGGGGGAGUAUGGUCGCAAGGCUGAAACUUAAAGGAAUUGACGGAAGGGCACCACCAGGUGUGGAGCCUGCGGCUUAAUUUGACUCAACACGGGGAAACUCACCAGGUCCAGACACGACAAGGAUUGACAGAUUGAUAGCUCUUUCUUGAUUUCGUGGUUGGUGGUGCAUGGCCGUUCUUAGUUGGUGGAGUGAUUUGUCUGGUUAAUUCCGAUAACGAACGAGACCUUAACCUGCUAAAUAGCCCGGCCGACUUUGGUUGGUCGCUGGCUUCUUAGAGGGACUAUCGGCGUUUAGCCGAUGGAAGUUUGAGGCAAUAACAGGUCUGUGAUGCCCUUAGAUGUUCUGGGCCGCACGCGCGCUACACUGACCGAACCAGCGAGUUUAUCACCUUGGCCGGAAGGCCUGGGUAAUCUUGUGAAACUCGGUCGUGAUGGGGAUAGAGCAUUGCAAUUAUUGCUCUUCAACGAGGAAUACCUAGUAAGCGUGAGUCAUCAGCUCGCGUUGAAUUCGUCCCUGCCCUUUGUACACACCGCCCGUCGCUACUACCGAUUGAAUGGCUUAGUGAGG
RNAcentral lists this ribosomal RNA (1069 nucleotides) under Sakaguchia sp. PPP-2019a. Its description in RNAcentral is "SSU rRNA". It matches the Rfam family "Eukaryotic small subunit ribosomal RNA", at positions 612 to 1706 of the family's 1831-position model. Lineage: Eukaryota; Fungi; Basidiomycota; Cystobasidiomycetes; Sakaguchiales; Sakaguchiaceae. The record is from RNAcentral.